This 458-nucleotide ribosomal RNA is filed under the name uncultured bacterium. Its description in RNAcentral is "partial 16S ribosomal RNA". It matches the Rfam family "Bacterial small subunit ribosomal RNA", at positions 338 to 795 of the family's 1533-position model. The record is from RNAcentral.
UCUACGGGAGGCAGCAGUGGGGAAUAUUGCACAAUGGGGGAAACCCUGAUGCAGCGACGCCGCGUGAGUGAAGAAGUAUUUCGGUAUGUAAAGCUCUAUCAGCAGGGAAGAAAUAGCGACCUUUGGGUCGCCAGACGGUACCUGACUAAGAAGCCCCGGCUAACUACGUGCCAGCAGCCGCGGUAAUAAGUAGGGGGCAAGCGUUAUCCGGAGUUACUGGGUGUAAAGGGAGCGUAGACGGCAGCACAAGACUGAAGUGAAAGGCCGGGGCUUAACCCCGGAACUGCUUUGGAAACUGUGCAUCUAGAGUGCAGGAGAGGGAAGUGGAUUUACUAGUGUAGCGGUGAAAUGCGUAGAUAUUAGGAGGAACACCAGUGGCGAAGGCGGCUUACUGGACUGUAACUGACGUUGAGGCUCGAAAGCGUGGGGAGCAAACAGGAUUAGAUACCCUGGUAGUC